This 245-nucleotide ribosomal RNA is filed under the name uncultured archaeon. RNAcentral describes it as "partial 16S ribosomal RNA". It matches the Rfam family "Archaeal small subunit ribosomal RNA", at positions 474 to 718 of the family's 1478-position model. The record is from RNAcentral.
CACCAGCGCCACGAGUGGGGACCGCUUUUAUUGGGCCUAAAGCGUCCGUAGCCGGGUUGGUAAAUCUUCUGUGAAAUUGUAAGGCUCAACCUUACAACGUGCAGUGGACACUGCUGACCUUGAGACCGGGAGGAGUCAGAGGUAUUUCUGGGGUAGCGGUAAAAUGCAAUAAUCCCAGAAAGACCACCUGUGGCGGAGGCGUCUGACUAGAACGGGUCUGACGGUGAGGGACGAAAGCUAGGGGA